RNAcentral lists this ribosomal RNA (253 nucleotides) under uncultured bacterium. RNAcentral describes it as "partial 16S ribosomal RNA". It matches the Rfam family "Bacterial small subunit ribosomal RNA", at positions 524 to 776 of the family's 1533-position model. The record is from RNAcentral.
UACGUAGGGGGUCAGCGUUGCUCGGAAUUACUGGGCGUAAAGCGUGCGCAGGCGGUCUCGUAAGCUGGGUGUGAAAGCCCCGGGCUUAACCUGGGAAUGGCAUUCAGGACUGCGAGGCUCGAGCGUGGCAGAGGGAGGUGGAAUUCCACGUGUAGCAGUGAAAUGCGUAGAGAUGUGGAGGAACACCGAUGGCGAAGGCAGCCUCCUGGGCCAGCACUGACGCUCAAGCACGAAAGCGUGGGGAGCAAACAGG